Molecule: long non-coding RNA, 691 nt
Organism: Prosopis cineraria
Lineage: Eukaryota; Viridiplantae; Streptophyta; Magnoliopsida; Fabales; Fabaceae
Exons: 3
Source: RefSeq, a predicted model, not a curated record
UCUUUUCCGUAUUCAUGAGUUUCUUUCAAACCUCUCUCUCAUUUGCUGAGGUUGUGCGUUCUCAACGAGUUCUAGAUCGUCACUGUAUCAGUCUAUCUUCCGUCAUUGUUCACUAUUCCAGAUCGUCGUUCGCCACUGUUCGCUGUUCCAAAUCAUCGUCCGCUGCUGUUCGUUGUUCCAGAUCAGUGUUCGUCGCUAUUCGUUCAUUUCUGUGUCAUGUCGCGCCAUCUGUCUCUGUUUUUGCGCUGCCGUCGCCGUCAUCGCCAUCUCCCGCAUCACUAUUCCAGAUCUGCAUUGCUGUUCCAGAUCUACGACGCUGCUAUACACCGGAGGAAGAGACGCCAUGAAGACCUCCUUUGCAGCCGUGUGUCAUUGCUGUACAGCCGAGGAAGCAACGCCGCAAAGACCUCCGCUACUGCCAUGAAGACUACACUGUGAAGGUACCUACACAAUUACAAGGUUGGGAGUGUGGAUACUAUGUUAUGAAGUUUAUGAGAGAAGUAAUCACACAAUAAGAGUUGAUCAUUCCUGAAAAUUAUUUUAUUGGAGUAAGAUGUUCGCAUUUUACUAUGGAGCAAAUAGAAGAUUUAGUUGAAAAGUUGUCAGAAUAUAUUAUUGGCUGUUUGUGAUAGGAAGAUAGAUUUCAAUGUUAGAAAAAUAACAAUAGUUUCAUUUGUUAGGCUUGUUAGAA